This 522-nucleotide ribosomal RNA is filed under the name uncultured bacterium. RNAcentral's name for it is "bacterial SSU rRNA". It matches the Rfam family "Bacterial small subunit ribosomal RNA", at positions 501 to 1023 of the family's 1533-position model. The record is from RNAcentral.
CUACGUGCCAGCAGCCGCGGUAAUACGUAGGGUGCGAGCGUUAAUCGGAAUUACUGGGCGUAAAGCGGGCGCAGACGGUUACUUAAGCAGGAUGUGAAAUCCCCGGGCUCAACCUGGGAACUGCGUUCUGAACUGGGUGACUAGAGUGUGUCAGAGGGAGGUAGAAUUCCACGUGUAGCAGUGAAAUGCGUAGAGAUGUGGAGGAAUACCGAUGGCGAAGGCAGCCUCCUGGGAUAACACUGACGUUCAUGCCCGAAAGCGUGGGUAGCAAACAGGAUUAGAUACCCUGGUAGUCCACGCUGUAAACGCUGUCGAUUUGGGGAUUGGGCUUUAAGCUUGGUGCCCGUAGCUAACGUGAUAAAUCGACCGCCUGGGGAGUACGGCCGCAAGGUUAAAACUCAAAUGAAUUGACAGGGGCCCGCACAAGCGGUGGAGCAUGUGGUUUAAUUCGAUGCAACGCGAAGAACCUUACCUACUCUUGACAUCCAUGGGAUCCUGUAGAGAUACGGGAGUGCUUCGGGA